This 238-nucleotide unclassified non-coding RNA is filed under the name Hevea brasiliensis (rubber tree). The record is from RNAcentral. Lineage: Eukaryota; Viridiplantae; Streptophyta; Magnoliopsida; Malpighiales; Euphorbiaceae.
UUCAAUUUGGUUGGAAGGUAUUGGUGAAGGAAAAAACAAAAAGCUGAAUGUUGAAUAACUGUGAUAUCCUUUUCUUUCCUGAAUUUGUUGUUGUAAAAUAUCUUGCGUAUACAGGAUAUGUUCACCGUAACAUAGGAAAAUUCAUGGAGUAUGAUUUCCUCAUCCAAAUUUGGUGCUUUAAGUCCACCCAUACUGGAUGGUAAGCAUGAAUGCAUGGAUUGCCUACAAGUUGUGGCGG